UCCUGGUUUCCCAGGCAGUCCCAUUAGAGUGCCUUAUCAAAGAUAAGUAGCAACUAAUAGCAAGGGUUGCGCUCGUUAAAGGACUUAACCCAACAUCUCACGACACGAGCUGACGACAGCCAUGCAGCACCUGUUCUAGUGUCUGAACCGAAGCCCAGAAAACUGCGUUUCUGCAGCGGUCACUAGUAUGUCAAACCCAGGUAAGGUGCCUCGCGUAGUGUCGAAUUAAACCACAUGUUCCACCGCUUGUGCGGACCCCCGUCAAUUCCUUUAAGUUUUAGUCUUGCGACCGUACUCCCCAGGCGAACCACUUAACGCGUUAGCUACGACACUGAUCCGGCGAACCAGACCAACAUCUAGUGGUUAUCGUUUACAGCGUGGACUAC
This 386-nucleotide unclassified non-coding RNA is filed under the name uncultured bacterium. Its description in RNAcentral is "contains 16S-23S intergenic spacer region". The record is from RNAcentral.